CAGGCCCCGCUGGCCCCCCUCAGCCGCUGGGCACCGCCAGCGCGGCCUGCCCCUCAGCACCAGCAGCCCCGGAGCUCUGGCUGCUCCCACGCGGGAGGGUAAGCUCCGCCGGCACCCCGCUGCCGAGGGAGACGUACUUCGGCUUUACCAGAGGCAGAGCGAAAGUGCAGAGAGUUCAGGUAAUUUCAAGAUGCUCGAUUUGGACCGCAUCCUAUUCUUCUUCCCAGCACAGAGUCUGCAAGGAAAGCCAGGAGACCGCACCCUGGUUAGAGCCGGCAGACAGAGGAGAGCCGUACAGAUCACCCUCUCCAAGGGGCUGCUCAGAAUGGCUUUUUCCCUACAGGUAAAUUUCCUUCACCAGUAAACUUGUCUGUCCCAUGAAUAGCAUCAAAGGAACGCUGUGCUGUUUGAAGAGAGCCACUGAGCAUAUGUAAUGGAAAAAGAAAACAGACAUCACUUAAAGAAAGGCCAGGCAGUGUGAGCAAAUCAGAGUUGGAAAAAAUGAAGGUCUCCCUAGAUGUCUUGAUGUUUUUGUACAACUGCCUUCAAGGACACCAAGACACAGAUAUGCCGUAUCCUACAACAUCAAGGAUCAUAGAAGAUGCUGUGAUCUCUCCCUCAAUGUAUCCUACUUGCUGUUAAAUGGCUCCAGUACAUGACAACUUUUUUCAAACUGUUGGUUCAGCAGGUUGGAGGAAGCUGUCUUCUGGCAGAGAAAGACAAAUGCCAGUACAGGCCUGAUGAAGUGGUGGUGUGCCUGCAAGCUUGUCUCAUUUUUUCCCCCCAUACCAGCUGGUCUAAUAAAUUACCUCUUCCUAACAA
This is a long non-coding RNA of Pezoporus occidentalis (night parrot), 822 nucleotides long. RefSeq lists it as uncharacterized. NCBI's taxonomy places the organism in Eukaryota, Metazoa, Chordata, Aves, Psittaciformes, Psittacidae. The transcript is spliced from 5 exons. The record is from RefSeq and is a predicted model, not a curated record.